GUCCCGCUUGAUGAGGUGUGUUGCAGUACCCCGGUCAGACCGAGGACGGCGCCGUCCACCCAGCGUCCACAGAGGGGACAUUCAAACUGCUGAGACUGGCUGCUGAGACUGGAGACACGGAGCUUUGUGCCGAAACUAAAAACACACACACAACCUCAUGAAUUAAAACCGCUCAUUGGUGAGAGGCCAGUAGAGGACUGUGUGGAUUAAAACGACGACAAGCAUGGAGUUCCCGCAGCAGCAGAAACCGGCGGGGGACAGCAAGAUCACCUACCCGCCUGGAGUGAAGGAAAUCACGGAGAAGAUAAGCAACGAUGAGGUGGUGAAACGGCUGAAGAUGGUGGUGAAGACCUACAUGGAC
This is a long non-coding RNA of Oncorhynchus nerka (sockeye salmon), 361 nucleotides long. RefSeq lists it as uncharacterized. NCBI's taxonomy places the organism in Eukaryota, Metazoa, Chordata, Actinopteri, Salmoniformes, Salmonidae. The transcript has 3 exons. The record is from RefSeq and is a predicted model, not a curated record.